GAUGAACGCUAGCGACAGGCCUAACACAUGCAAGUCGAGGGGCAGCGCGGAGUAGCAAUACUUUGGCGGCGACCGGCGCACGGGUGAGUAACACGUAUGCAACCUGCCUGUAAGAGGGGAAUAACCCGGAGAAAUUCGGACUAAUACCGCAUAAUACCACGAGACUACAUGGUUUUGUGGUUAAACAUUUAUGGCUUACAGAUGGGCAUGCGUAUGAUUAGAUAGUUGGUAGGGUAACGGCCUACCAAGUCUACGAUCAUUAGGGGUUCUGAGAGGAAGGUCCCCCAACUGGUACUGAGACACGGACCAGACUCCUACGGGGAGGCAGCAGUGAGGAAUAUUGGUCAAUGGGCGAGAGCCUGAACCAGCCAAGUCGCGUGAAGGAAGAAGGUUCUAUGGAUUGUAAACUUCUUUUGCAGGGGAAUAAAGGACGGUACGUGUACUGUUUUGUAUGUACCUUGCGAAUAAGGAUCGGCUAACUCCGUGCCAGCAGCCGCGGUAAA
Molecule: ribosomal RNA, 503 nt
Filed under: uncultured bacterium
Lineage: Bacteria
Description: bacterial SSU rRNA
Rfam family: Bacterial small subunit ribosomal RNA
Source: RNAcentral